Molecule: long non-coding RNA, 300 nt
Filed under: Androctonus crassicauda
Lineage: Eukaryota; Metazoa; Arthropoda; Arachnida; Scorpiones; Buthidae
Source: RNAcentral
CAGAACAUUGUUACAGAAGAAGAAAGUACCUGAUAAAAUUAAGUUUUAGUUUGAUGAAAGAGCAUAUGAAGAAAAGAGCAAUGCUUCCCAACCUUCCCAAAGAUACAUUUGCGUUCCUCUCUAGCUUCCUUCCUGAUACUCACACGACAGAAGAACCACAAAAAAGAGUCGGACAAUGUCACAUUUGUGGUGGGCACAAGAAUAAUAAAACCACUGUGACGUGCUAUAGAUGUGGAAAGCAUGUUUGCAAAAAUCACAGUGUGCAUUCAGCUACAUGUAAUACAUGCAAGGACAUAGAGG